CCAUAGUUUAGAGGAAUUAAGGGUGGGGUUUAACUAGUGUCAUGUGCCCGUUUUCAGAAAAGAGUGGUGGAGACUGGAACUAGCAGAACAGCUGCAGGACAAAGACAGAAUGAAAGGGUUAUGGAAAAGAGAAGAGCACAAUUGAGCACAAUCCGCAUCCACAGAAAUGACUUACCUGAAUACUCCUGGUGCUGGACUGUAAAGGGAAAUCGAGAGAACUAGAUUCUAUCAUCAGCCAAGAUUGUGGGAGAAUAAAGGCAUGUCCCUAUUCAGAUAUUUACUAGCCAAUGAGCCAAUAAUCUCUGUAACAAAAAAUAAAGGU
Molecule: long non-coding RNA, 322 nt
Organism: Rhineura floridana
Lineage: Eukaryota; Metazoa; Chordata; Lepidosauria; Squamata; Rhineuridae
Exons: 3
Source: RefSeq, a predicted model, not a curated record